Molecule: ribosomal RNA, 497 nt
Filed under: uncultured bacterium
Lineage: Bacteria
Description: partial 16S ribosomal RNA
Rfam family: Bacterial small subunit ribosomal RNA
Source: RNAcentral
GAUGAACGCUGGCGGCGUGCCUAAUACAUGCAAGUCGAGCGAACAGACGAGGAGCUUGCUCCUCUGACGUUAGCGGCGGACGGGUGAGUAACACGUGGAUAACCUACCUAUAAGACUGGGAUAACUUCGGGAAACCGGAGCUAAUACCGGAUAAUAUAUUGAACCGCAUGGUUCAAUAGUGAAAGACGGUUUUGCUGUCACUUAUAGAUGGAUCCGCGCCGCAUUAGCUAGUUGGUAAGGUAACGGCUUACCAAGGCAACGAUGCGUAGCCGCCCUCAGAGGGUGAUCGGCCACACUGGAUCUGAGACACGGUCCAGACUCCUACGGGAGGCAGCAGUAGGGAAUCUUCCGCAAUGGGCGAAAGCCUGACGGAGCAACGCCGCGUGAGUGAUGAAGGUCUUCGGAUCGUAAAACUCUGUUAUUAGGGAAGAACAAAUGUGUAAGUAACUAGGCACGUCUUGACGGUACCUAAUCAGAAAGCCACGGCUAACUACGUG